Molecule: ribosomal RNA, 838 nt
Filed under: Eupogonius hagmanni
Lineage: Eukaryota; Metazoa; Arthropoda; Insecta; Coleoptera; Cerambycidae
Description: partial large subunit ribosomal RNA
Source: RNAcentral
GUGGUGUUAAGGAGGAUCCGUUUAUCCCGAGGUCGGGCGGUGCGUCCAAGUCCUUCUUGAACGGGGCCAGAGCCCAAAGAGGGUGCUUGGCCCGAAGCGACCGCUGCCGAUCGCGGGAGGAUCGCUCGUCAGAGUCGGGUUGCUUGAGAGUGCAGCCCUAAGUGGGUGGUAAACUCCAUCUAAGGCUAAAUAUGACCACGAGACCGAUAGCGAACAAGUACCGUGAGGGAAAGUUGAAAAGCACUUUGAAGAGAGAGUUCAAGAGUACGUGAAACCGUUCAGGGGUAAACCUGAGAAACCCGAAAGGUCGAAAGGGGAAAUUCAUUCGCGUCUCGAGCGUCGGAGCGAGACGGUUGAGCGACGAACGGCGUACGCGUCGUCCGCGCCUUCCGUUUCGCGUUCGAUUUCGAACGCGUGCACUUUUCCCCUAGUAGGACGUCGCGAUCCGUUGGGUGUCGGUUUAAGGCUCGCGGUGGAGACCGAGCGCGCGUUUUCGAACGUCUCGCGCUCGGACCCGCGGUGUCCCGGCCGACWAGCUCGACGGUAUACAGAUGGCGCGGGGCCGCUACUAAUUAGUUAGCGUUCGGCCCGCGGCAAGCGCGUACGGUGCUGGCGGCGAUCGGACCUGGUGCCGAUCCCGUCCCCGGACGACUGUUGGCCGCGGUGUUCUCGKACGGACCUCGUCUUUUGAAACGCCGAUCUGCGACGCUAUAGCUUUGGGUACUUUCAGGACCCGUCUUGAAACACGGACCAAGGAGUCUAGCAUGUGCGCGAGUCAUUGGGACCUAAAUAAACCUAAAGGCCCAAUGAAAGUGAAGGUCCGCCUCGCGCGGACCGA